RNAcentral lists this ribosomal RNA (496 nucleotides) under uncultured bacterium. Its description in RNAcentral is "partial 16S ribosomal RNA". It matches the Rfam family "Bacterial small subunit ribosomal RNA", at positions 29 to 507 of the family's 1533-position model. The record is from RNAcentral.
AUGAACGCUGGCGGCGUGCCUAAUACAUGCCCGUCGAGCGCACAGAUGAGGAGCUUGCUCCUCUGACGUUAGCGGCGGACGGGUGAGUAACACGUGGAUAACCUACCUAUAAGACUGGGAUAACUUCGGGAAACCGGAGCUAAUACCGGAUAAUAUAUUGAACCGCAUGGUUCAAUAGUGAAAGACGGUUUUGCUGUCACUUAUAGAUGGAUCCGCGCCGCAUUAGCUAGUUGGUAAGGUAACGGCUUACCAAGGCAACGAUGCGUAGCCGACCUGAGAGGGUGAUCGGCCACACUGGAACCGAGACACGGUCCAGACUCCUACGGGAGGCAGCAGUAGGGAAUCUUCCGCAAUGGGCGAAAGCUUGACGGAGCAACGCCGCGUGAGUGAUGAAGGUCUUCGGAUCGUAAAACUCUGUUAUUAGGGAAGAACAAAUGUGUAAGUAACUAUGCACGUCUUGACGGUACCUAAUCAGAAAGCCACGGCUAACUACGUG